Naja naja (Indian cobra) is the source of this 1616-nucleotide long non-coding RNA. NCBI's taxonomy places the organism in Eukaryota, Metazoa, Chordata, Lepidosauria, Squamata, Elapidae. The record is from Ensembl.
AGGCUAAAGGAGAGCUUGCUUGGAUGCUGAGUGGAUGCAUUACAGCCCUGUGACUGUCUCUCUUUCAGAUCAAACUAGCGUUGUGCUUUCAAAAUUGGGCUGCAUGAAUGCCAGGAGAUCCAUUGUUGCGUGGGAAGAAAACAUUACAAUAUUGACAUAUAUUUAUCUGAUGCUCAAAACAUUUAAUUUCUAUUUUGGGGUUGUAAUAUGCCUAAUAUAUCAAUACUGUACUGCAUAUAUGAUUAAUUGAUAACAUAUAUUGGCAGUGCCUGCUUAAGAUAAUUUUACUGAUAAGGAGGUAGAAUCCUUACAAGUUUGUUGGCCACUCUGCCAAAGAACUCUGAAACUGGCGUUCCUCCCUGCCCAUUUAUGGAUGGGCCCAUGAAGAAAACAAAAACAAAAGACACGUUUGAGGAUCUUUAUCAGUCCGAUUGUCUUGACACCUUGAAGUUGGUAGAGAUUCAGUUUGUGAGAUAUCUGUGCAGCCAACUGCAGUUGAAGAGGUUGUAUCGGAAGGGAAAGACACUAUUGAAGUCCUGCAACCUUCCAACACAGGUGAAAUUGCAGCAAAAAAGGAAGAGCAAACUUUGAAUGAUCUUGUGAAUCUUUUGCAAGAUGUGGUAAAAAAUAUCCCCACAGAACUUGUAUUGUCAACUGAACCACCAGCAACUCUUUUGGUACCCAGGCUAGUAACUUCUCCCUCUGUAGCAAUGGACACUGUUUGGGUGAAUGUGAACCCCCAAAAUAGUGACAAGUCCAGAACAAUUGCCUUGAUGAAAAAGGAUACUCCAACUACAACAGCCUUUUGGAAACUCAGAAAUGACGCAUCUGCAUCUGUUAUCCUGCAUUCCAACCCAAGUCCCUCAGAAUAUCUCCCAAGUGACACAAGUGAGUCUGUUAUUCUGAUUUCUGAAGAGCCAAAUCCAGGAAAUACAUUGGGCACCAUUUCAGUUCAGUUGGAAAAAGAAGCAACCACUAAGAAAGAAGCUCCACCUAUAACAGAAAUGAAGUUGGACAUAGAGCUGCCUUCCUCCCUCUCAUCUGAAGCAUCUGAGACAGAAAUAAAGCUGGACAUAGAUAUCACUCCUUCCUCGUCCACAGUUCCACCCACCACGCAAGUGGAGAUAGAAAUGUCUCCUUCCCCAUCAACAACUGCAUCUGUACCAGAAGUGGACAUCAUUUUGCCUGCAUCUGAGUCUCCGGAAAAGAAAGCAGAAGACACAGAAAAAGAAAUGGGGAAAUUAAAAGCAUUUAUUAAUUUAUUAUAUGGCUUUAGUCCUGAAUUAACUGAAUAUGCAGAGAAUUCACCACAUAAAAAGAUGGCUCAGGAUAUUGUUGAAAGAUCAAUGGAAGUCCUUGAUGCCAUAAAGAGUGUUUUUUGCGGAAAUCCUAAAAAGCAAAGUAAACAGAUUUUGAAGCAGUUGUUACAGAAAGACAUGGAGCUUGUAAGACAAGCCAUGAAGGGAAAAAAAGCCUCUUAAGAUACAUUUACUGCUUGGUACUGUAGGUUUUUAUGAACAAUCAAGAGGUCUGGUUUCUUAAUUGUAACAGCAAUUGAAAUACACCUGUAGCCAUUUUCAUGCCUGAAAUUAAAUGUUUGUUUUUAAACAUUUUUG